UCUCCGGCCGCGCCGUCCAACAGGCCUUCCCCGCCGCGGCCGUCCUCCUGAAGCUUGUCCACGAUCAUGCUCGCGGGCAGACCACGCGUCGCUCCCGGCUCCAGAUGCGCUCCCCUGCCGACCUGGCACGAACUCCCCAAACUGGAACUGGGUAGGGCAGUUUGCAGUGGCGACGGCUGAGACAGCCAACUCGACUUUCUCUCCUGCUGUCUGGCGGCCCUUGCUAAGGGAAGUCAAGCCCACAAAGCUGUCCGCGCCACUCCACCUCUCCCUGCAGCCUUAGGAGCCCUGAGCAAGUCCGGCCCUCCCUUCUGCCAGGUCGGCCAGGAACUCAUUCCGGGGAACAUCCAUUAAGCUUCUGCUCUGUGCGGGGUUCCGCGUCGCCCGGGCUGGGAAUGUGCUGAACCCUCUUUACCUCUGACUCUUAGUUUUAUUGAUUUCCCAAGUUUCAGUUCAACUCCCAUCUUUAACAGGACCCAUUUUCUCAGUACCCCACCCGCACUCCCCAUGCUAGGGCCUUCCUCACUGAGAUUAGCUCGCCUACUCCCCACCCUGGAUUAUCCAUUUACUAUUCUAUAAAUACUGUAUUUAUUUAAUUGUUA
Molecule: long non-coding RNA, 602 nt
Organism: Antechinus flavipes (yellow-footed antechinus)
Lineage: Eukaryota; Metazoa; Chordata; Mammalia; Dasyuromorphia; Dasyuridae
Exons: 2
Source: RefSeq, a predicted model, not a curated record